This is a long non-coding RNA of Gasterosteus aculeatus aculeatus (three-spined stickleback), 481 nucleotides long. NCBI's taxonomy places the organism in Eukaryota, Metazoa, Chordata, Actinopteri, Perciformes, Gasterosteidae. The record is from Ensembl.
GUUUGAAGCCGAGCGGCAGCGAGAUGAGGAGGAAUAUGUCGGCGUGAGGACGUGUUUUUUCUUUUCUUUCUUCGUGCUCCACGACAGCCCAAAACAAAAAGGACUCCUAUCGGGACAAACCAAACGGACUCCACCAGGCGCCAUUCGUGGUUCUUUUCCCCGUGUAGAGCCUGUGGGAGAAGUUUCAGUUGGCUGCAAUCUGCAAGCUGACCGCUAGAUGUCUCAAGUGACCCUUGUCUCAGUGGUCUGGGGGGGGGGACACCAGCUAAGUGUUGCUGAAAGGCCAGAUCUGUUGAAAGGAUGUGUAUUCAUUGGCAUUUGUGUGAAGUGUUUUGUACGAUUGUGCAAGUAAGUCCUCCCGCAACCUUGGUCGGCCUCUAUGAAACACCAGUUUUUGUGAAGCUACAUCGAACAUAUGACUAACUUGGGGACAAAUCAAAUGAAUGAAAUGACAGCGGCUCGACCAAAUUUCCACCCCACA